RNAcentral lists this unclassified non-coding RNA (225 nucleotides) under fungal sp. Its description in RNAcentral is "partial internal transcribed spacer region". The stretch from base 1 to 46 matches the Rfam family "Eukaryotic small subunit ribosomal RNA", at positions 1786 to 1831 of the family's 1831-position model. The record is from RNAcentral. RNAcentral also lists the same sequence under 1 other name. Lineage: Eukaryota; Fungi.
AAGUCGUAACAAGGUCUCCGUUGGUGAACCAGCGGAGGGAUCAUUACCGAGUUUACAACUCCCAAACCCCGUGAACAUACCUACGUUGCUUCGGCGGACCGCCCCGGGCGCUUCGUGCCCCGGACUAAGGCGCCCGCCGAGGGCCCGAAACGCAGCAUUCUACCUGAACCUCUGAGUGGCUUACAGCAACUGUAACAACUUUCAACAACGGAUCUCUUGGCUCUG